GGCUGCCGUCCUACCUGUGCAUUAUUAGAGUUAUUAAAGGCAUCUAAUACUGUCAGGUAAUGACGAUAGCC
MicroRNA precursor from Toxocara canis (dog roundworm), 71 nucleotides. It matches the Rfam family "mir-236 microRNA precursor family". Lineage: Eukaryota; Metazoa; Nematoda; Chromadorea; Rhabditida; Toxocaridae. The record is from Rfam.